Molecule: long non-coding RNA, 140 nt
Organism: Telopea speciosissima
Lineage: Eukaryota; Viridiplantae; Streptophyta; Magnoliopsida; Proteales; Proteaceae
Exons: 2
Source: RefSeq, a predicted model, not a curated record
AAGAUGAGAUCAAGAAGGUGGAGAAUUAGAGGUCUGCUCUCACAGAAGCUGCGAAUUUGUCAGGGUGGGAUCAAGGAAAUGUUGCAAUUGGGCAUGAGGCGGAACUUAUAAAGGAAAUCGGUGAAGAAGUGUUGACAAUA